GAAUCAAAAACUUUCAACAACGGAUCUCUUGGUUCUGGCAUCGAUGAAGAACGCAGCGAAAUGCGAUAAGUAAUGUGAAUUGCAGAAUUCAGUGAAUCAUCGAAUCUUUGAACGCACAUUGCGCCCCUUGGUAUUCCGAGGGGCAUGCCUGUUCGA
RNAcentral lists this ribosomal RNA (156 nucleotides) under Mycosphaerellaceae sp. SD-01. RNAcentral's name for it is "5.8S ribosomal RNA". It matches the Rfam family "5.8S ribosomal RNA". Rfam says of the family: 5.8S ribosomal RNA (5.8S rRNA) is a component of the large subunit of the eukaryotic ribosome. It is transcribed by RNA polymerase I as part of the 45S precursor that also contains 18S and 28S rRNA. The record is from RNAcentral. Lineage: Eukaryota; Fungi; Ascomycota; Dothideomycetes; Mycosphaerellales; Mycosphaerellaceae.